This 1033-nucleotide ribosomal RNA is filed under the name uncultured bacterium. RNAcentral describes it as "bacterial SSU rRNA". It matches the Rfam family "Bacterial small subunit ribosomal RNA", at positions 56 to 1127 of the family's 1533-position model. The record is from RNAcentral.
UGCAAGUCGAACGAUGAAAGCAGGAGCUUGCUUUUGCUGGAUUAGUGGCGAACGGGUGAGUAACACGUGAGUAACCUGCCCUUGACUCUGGGAUAAGCGUUGGAAACGACGUCUAAUACCGGAUACGAGCUAGGACCGCAUGGUCACUAGUUGGAAAGAAUUUCGGUCGAGGAUGGACUCGCGGCCUAUCAGCUAGUUGGUGAGGUAACGGCCCACCAAGGCGACGACGGGUAGCCGGCCUGAGAGGGUGACCGGCCACACUGGGACUGAGACACGGCCCAGACUCCUACGGGAGGCAGCAGUGGGGAAUAUUGCACAAUGGGCGCAAGCCUGAUGCAGCAACGCCGCGUGAGGGACGACGGCCUUCGGGUUGUAAACCUCUUUUAGCAGGGAAGAAGCGAAAGUGACGGUACCUGCAGAAAAAGCACCGGCUAACUACGUGCCAGCAGCCGCGGUAAUACGUAGGGUGCAAGCGUUGUCCGGAAUUAUUGGGCGUAAAGAGCUCGUAGGCGGUUUGUCGCGUCUGCUGUGAAAAUCCGAGGCUCAACCUCGGACCUGCAGUGGGUACGGGCAAACUAGAGUGCGGUAGGGGAGAUUGGAAUUCCUGGUGUAGCGGUGGAAUGCGCAGAUAUCAGGAGGAACACCAAUGGCGAAGGCAGAUCUCUGGGCCGUAACUGACGCUGAGGAGCGAAAGCGUGGGGAGCGAACAGGAUUAGAUACCCUGGUAGUCCACGCCGUAAACGGUGGGAACUAGAUGUGGGGUCCGUUCCACGGAUUCCGUGUCGCAGCUAACGCAUUAAGUUCCCCGCCUGGGGAGUACGGCCGCAAGGCUAAACUCAAAGGAUUGACGGGGGCCCGCACAAGCGCGAGCAUGCGAUUAUUCGAUGCACGCGAGACUUACAGGCUGACAUAUAGAGAAAGUGUAGAAUACACUCCCGCAGUCUUCUUAUACAGUGGUGCAUGCUGUCGUCAGCUCUUCUGGAAUGUAGUUAAGUCCGCACGAGCCCAACCUCGGUCAUGUUGCAGCACGGUA